GAGGGUGAUCGGCCACACUGGAACUGAGACACGGUCCAGACUCCUACGGGAGGCAGCAGUAGGGAAUCUUCCGCAAUGGGCGAAAGCCUGACGGAGCAACGCCGCGUGAGUGAUGAAGGUCUUCGGAUCGUAAAACUCUGUUAUUAGGGAAGAACAUAUGUGUAAGUAACUGUGCACAUCUUGACGGUACCUAAUCAGAAAGCCACGGCUAACUACGUGCCAGCAGCCGCGGUAAUACGUAGGUGGCAAGCGUUAUCCGGAAUUAUUGGGCGUAAAGCGCGCGUAGGCGGUUUUUUAAGUCUGAUGUGAAAGCCCACGGCUCAACCGUGGAGGGUCAUUGGAAACUGGAAAACUUGAGUGCAGAAGAGGAAAGUGGAAUUCCAUGUGUAGCGGUGAAAUGCGCAGAGAUAUGGAGGAACACCAGUGGCGAAGGCGACUUUCUGGUCUGUAACUGACGCUGAUGUGCGAAAGCGUGGGGAUCAAACAGGAUUAGAUACCCUGGUAGUCCACGCCGUAAACGA
RNAcentral lists this ribosomal RNA (521 nucleotides) under Staphylococcus aureus. RNAcentral's name for it is "bacterial SSU rRNA". It matches the Rfam family "Bacterial small subunit ribosomal RNA", at positions 296 to 809 of the family's 1533-position model. Lineage: Bacteria; Bacillati; Bacillota; Bacilli; Caryophanales; Staphylococcaceae. The record is from RNAcentral.